AACGAGACACGAACCUACAAAGUAAAACAGGAAACUCACAGACUGUUUUACACAACCAACUGGGGACACGAACAGAACACAGAGGAGAGACACAGAUCAGAAAACCAGCAACAGCAGCAACCAGAAGUACAGCAGAAACUGACAGACCAACUUUCAGUCCAAGAGAUCCAUCCUCCUUCCCUCUGUCUUCCUUCCCUCCAUCCACUCUGAGUCCACCUGUCUGACCUGCAGGUGAGAAACAGGUGUGAGGUGUCAGCUGUCAGAUCCACACGGUUCUUAAAAGAUGGAUGCUGGUUGUCUUGAACAAACAAACUAUCCUGGAACAAAAGGACAAAUUGUGGCUCCAGGUCAGCUCUGCUCCACUUCACAGCAGUGAUCAAGAUGCUGUUUGGAGCUCGACAUGUCAGAGUGACGUCCUGUCCAGACUUAACCACUGUGGUUUUUUGGUCUAAAAGAUGAAACAACGGAGCAGAGAGGUUAAAGGUCGGAGACUAUAGAUAACACAUCUGUAGAAGAUGGAGAAAGUAAGGAACUACGGA
Oreochromis aureus is the source of this 539-nucleotide long non-coding RNA. RefSeq lists it as uncharacterized. Lineage: Eukaryota; Metazoa; Chordata; Actinopteri; Cichliformes; Cichlidae. The transcript is spliced from 3 exons. The record is from RefSeq and is a predicted model, not a curated record.